GGUCAAAAUGUCCAGGGGCAGAGGCCAAAGAUGGAGGUGUGGUGACUGAAGGCUGCCACUAGCUUGCCCUCUUCUUUGCUUCUCCCCUCCAGGUGCCUCCUUGACAGCUGUGGUCGGAGCCAUGAGCUUCCUGUAGUUGUGGGAACAAGGCACUCCAUUCUGGUUGGAGCCCUUAUCCUGAGAUUCCUCCAACAAUCUGAGUCUCAGUACAGGCCAGCUUUCUUCUGCCACCUGCAUUCCUGGGAUCUGGGAUCCAGAAAUUCCUCAGUACUCUUUCUUUCCUGGGAUUCCUCUAGAGACUUGGGGUCUCCAGGAGACACUUAACUACCAAUUCAGUGUGAUAAUUGAAAGAAUACCCGAUUUAAGGUCAGAAGACUGAGUUGCAUCCCACCUCAGACAAGGGAUAUAGAAGAUUGAGGAAAUCAUUUAAUCUUUCUCAUCCUUAGUUUUGCAGCAGCAGAAGCAGCAGCAACAACAACAAAUUGUUGAAAGGAAAUACCAGUUACCAUUAAGGAAUGUUAUGAGAAAAUGAGCUAAUUUUUGAAAUUCAGAGUUACAUAAACACGAGGUUGCAUGUCAAUCAUUCAUAGAGAAGAAUAAUUAAGUUCAAGAAAUUCCUUCACCUUUCUGGUUACAAGUGUCUUUUUAAAAAUAUUAUUCUUGCAGAACAUUUACC
This 676-nucleotide long non-coding RNA is filed under the name Monodelphis domestica (gray short-tailed opossum). RNAcentral describes it as "lncRNA (ENSMODG00000047330.1)". Lineage: Eukaryota; Metazoa; Chordata; Mammalia; Didelphimorphia; Didelphidae. The record is from RNAcentral.